Molecule: ribosomal RNA, 478 nt
Filed under: uncultured bacterium
Lineage: Bacteria
Description: partial 16S ribosomal RNA
Rfam family: Bacterial small subunit ribosomal RNA
Source: RNAcentral
GACGAACGCUGGCGGCGUGCUUAACACAUGCAAGUCGAACGGUAAGGCCCUUCGGGGUACACGAGUGGCGAACGGGUGAGUAACACGUGGGUGAUCUGCCCUGCACUUCGGGAUAAGCCUGGGAAACUGGGUCUAAUACCGGAUAGGACCCUGGGAUGCAUGUCCUGGGGUGGAAAGCUUUUGCGGUGUGGGAUGGGCCCGCGGCCUAUCAGCUUGUUGGUGGGGGAAUGGCCUACCACGGCGACGACGGGUAGCCGGCAUGAGAGGGUGACCGGCCACACUGGGACUGGGAUACGGCCCAGACUCCUACGGGAGGCAGCAGUGGGGAAUAUUGCACAAUGGGCGCAAGCCUGAUGCAGCGACGCCGCGUGAGGGAUGACGGCCUUCGGGUUGUAAACCUCUUUCAGUAGGGACGAAGCGCAAGUGACGGUACCUACAGAAGAAGGACCGGCCAACUACGUGCCAGCCGCCGCCGUAA